UGGAUCCAGACUUUGAUUAUGGCUCAGGAUGAACGCUGGCGGCGUGCCUAACACAUGCAAGUCGAACGGGGACAGGAUGAAACCUAGUGAUUCCUGUCUUAGUGGCGGACGGGUGAGUAACGCGUGGGUAACCUGCCUUGUACUGGGGGAUAACACCUGGAAACAGGUGCUAAUACCGCAUAAGCGCACAGGACCGCAUGGUCUGGUGUGAAAAACUCCGGUGGUACAAGAUGGACCCGCGUCUGAUUAGCCAGUUGGGGGGGUAACGGCCCACCAAAGCGACGAUCAGUAGCCGGCCUGAGAGGGUGAACGGCCACAUUGGGACUGAGACACGGCCCAAACUCCUACGGGAGGCAGCAGUGGGGAAUAUUGCACAAUGGGGGGAACCCUGAUGCAGCAACGCCGCGUGAGUGAAGAAGUGAUUCGUUAUGUAAAGCUCUAUCAGCAGGGAAGAAAAUGACGGUACCUGAGUAAGCAGCCCCGGCUAACUACGUGCCAGCAGCCGCGGUAAUACGUAGGGGGCAAGCGUUAUCCGGAUUUACUGGGUGUAAAGGGAGCGUAGACGGCCACGCAAGUCUGAAGUGAAAUGCCAGUGCUCAACACUGGAACUGCUUUGGAAACUGUGAGGCUGGAGUGCAGGAGAGGUAAGUGGAAUUCCUAGUGUAGCGGUGAAAUGCGUAGAUAUUAGGAGGAACACCAGUGGCGAAGGCGGCUUACUGGACUGUAACUGACGUUGAGGCUCGAAGUCGUGGGGAGCAAACAGGAUUAGAUACCCUGGUAGUCCACGCGGUAAACGAUGAUUACUAGGUGUCGGGGGGUUAUAACCCUUCGGUGUCGCCGCAAACGCAAUAAGUAAUCCACCUGGGGAGUACGUUCGCAAGAAUGCAACUCAAAUGAAUUGACGGA
Molecule: ribosomal RNA, 906 nt
Filed under: uncultured Bacillota bacterium
Lineage: Bacteria; Bacillati; Bacillota
Description: bacterial SSU rRNA
Rfam family: Bacterial small subunit ribosomal RNA
Source: RNAcentral